This is a non-coding RNA of Camellia sinensis, 653 nucleotides long. NCBI's taxonomy places the organism in Eukaryota, Viridiplantae, Streptophyta, Magnoliopsida, Ericales, Theaceae. The record is from RefSeq and is a predicted model, not a curated record.
UAUACCUUAAGCCAAUGGUUUUCAUCAUAUGAUCUGUUAGAAAAUUCUCAUUCAUGGGCAACUUUUAAUUAAGUAGGAUGUUCCAAGAGCUGGAGUAAAAGAAAAUUUAUUUAAGUGGAGCACAUUGAAUCUGAGGGUAAUGUCGAUUCCCUCAUUAGCUUUGUACAGGCUGGGAACUUGAAGGGAAAAAUAACCAGGUCAACCGCAUUCUUCAAGAUGUUCAAUUUAAAGACCAGAAGUGGUUUAAGCAGUUUGUUUCCCAAAGCAAGGCUAGAACGGAGGAGCGAUUAAGAGGCAGUGGUGAUGAUAUUGUAGCCGCAAGGAUGGGUGCAAAGUUAAAUGCUGCAGGGUGGAUUUCUAAACAAAUGGGUGGCGUUAGAACCUGAUAAUGCGGCAUGUGAAUCACUCUGCUAGUGAUCUGAUUGAUCUCUUGCAGGGGCUUCUGUGAUAUGACCGAGCAGAGCAACUCAAAGCAAAGGAAGCUCUUAGACAUCCCUACCUGAGAAGGUGUGACUUUGCAAAUGAACACACGACGUUUUGGUUAUGUUCUUAUUAUACUGUUUUACUUUUUGAACCUAAAUUAUUAUAGUGAGUGGCCAAGAAUCUACAGUUCAUGAAAUGCAAAAUUUAGGGGAGUAGUACUUCAAUUUUUA